GAUUAGGUGAGGGAGGGUCAUAACAACAAUAGGCCAUAGAUCUGCACUGAUCUCCAUCUAAACCAGAGAUAUACAUCUCAAAUAGAGCGUAAAGGCAUUGAUCUAAAUACGGAAUACCGGGAUUACUGUACUGGUUCAUGCUGUUUAAUGAGAACGCUUAUGUGAACACCUAAAUACACGAGGUUAAAGGUCAGACUUGGAGAUUUCAGCGUUCCAGCACUCCAUGUCUUCACAUCAGUCUUCAUUAACCGUCUGGAUCUCCUCAGUCUAUAUGCAAUGUCCACCUCUCUCACUCCCAACAAACAACAUAUGCUCUGUGAGCUGGCUACUGUUAGCCAUCAUAAUAGCAGAGCUGGGUGGAGGAGGGAUGAUGGAGGAGGGCUCUUUCAUUUCAUUUGCCUCGAUGUAGGAAGUAGCAUUCAAAAGUAAAUACUGAUGACAAAAGACUAAAUAAAAAAAGACUGAGUGCUGGGCCAGUUUUUCUUUUUUUUUUUUUAGCAUUUGAAGCUUGACCACAGCUGACAAAAGAAAGAACAAAACAGAGAGACUGUUUUUGAUUGUCAGUAAACAUGUCAGGCUGUUCAUACUUCUUUUCCUUUCCACGUCAAACAUAAUCCUUGUAUAAAUAGACCACAGGGUACGUACCUAACUUUGUGCUUAGUUAAAACUUUCAGUAUUUAUUUAUUUAUUUAUUCAUUUAUUUGUUUGUUCAUUUUUUUUUAUUUAGUCAUUCAAUUAUUUAUAAUUUUUUUAUUCAUUUAUUUAUUCAUUUAAGCAUUUAUUUAUUUAUUCCUUCAUUUAUUGAUUUAUUUAUUAAUUUAUGCAUUUAUUUAUUAAUAAUUUAUUUAUUUAGAUGUUUAUUUAUUUUUUAUUCGCAUUUACUUAUUUAUUUAUUUGUCCACUUAUUUAUUUAUUUUUUCAUUUAUUUAUUUAUGCAUUAAUUUAUUGGUUCGUUUAUUUAUUUUUUUAUUCAUUUAUGAAUUUAUUUUAAAUUUUGAUUUUUGAUUUUUAAUUAAUUAAUUUAUUUGUUUGUUUAUUUAUUUAUUUAUUUACUCAUGCAUUUAUAUGUUUAUUUAGUUAUUUGUUUAAUUAUUUAUUUAUUUAUUCGUUUAAUUAUUUAUUUAUGCAUUUAUUUAUUUGUUUGUUUUUUUGUUUGUUUGUUUGUUUGUUAAUUUAUUUAUGCAUACAUAUAUUUCCUUGUGUGGAGUUUGCAUGUUCUCCCUGCGUUUGUUUGGGUUUCCUUUGGGUGCUCCGGUUUCCCCCACAGUCCAAAGACGUGUGGUACAGGUGAAUUGGGUAGGAUAAAAUUGUCCGUAGUGUUUGUGUGUGUGUGAAUGAGUGUGUGUGGAUGUUUCCCAGGGAUGGGUUGUGGCUGGAAGGGCAUCCGUGCGUAAAAAACUUGCUGGAUGGGUUGGCGGUUCAUUGCGCUGUAGCGACCCCGGAUUAAUAAAGGGACCAAGACGACAGGUAAAUGAAUGAGUAUUUCCUUGAUUUAUUUUAUUUUGUUUUUAAGAAAACAGUCACAAACAAUUUGUUA
This 1537-nucleotide long non-coding RNA is filed under the name Danio rerio (zebrafish). Its description in RNAcentral is "lncRNA (ENSDARG00000117332.1)". Lineage: Eukaryota; Metazoa; Chordata; Actinopteri; Cypriniformes; Danionidae. The record is from RNAcentral.